AUGGGGAAAAUGCAGAAGGCGGUGGAUGAGGUAGUUAAAUGGUCAUAUAAGUGGGGAUUUAAGUUAUCAGUGGAGAAGUCACAAGUUAUUAUAUUUUCCAACAAGAAAGUAGAUAAUGAAUGGAAGUUAAGGAUAUAUAACAGGGAAAUGGCUCGAGUAACAUCAGUUAGAUUCUUGGGAAUGUGGCUAGAUACUAGACUUACAUGGAAUGAACAUAUUGAUAAGAUAGUGAAUAGGUGUAAAAGAGUGUUAAAUAUAAUGAAAUGUAUGGCAGGACAAGAGUGGGGAGCAGAUAGAGGGGCGCUUCAAUCAGUAUAUAUAGCAAUGAUAAGAUCUGUACUAGAUUAUGGAAGUAUAGCAUAUGGGUUGGCGGCAAAAUCACAGUUAGAGAAAUUGGAUAGAAUUCAAGCACAGGCGAUGAGAAUUUGCUGUGGAGCAUAUCCAACAACACCUAUAGUAGCUUUGCAAGUAGAGAUAAAUGAAAUGCCGCUUAAUAUUAGAAGAAAACAGUUAAUGGCUGUGUAUUGGACAAAUCUAAAUAGUCAGAAUGAGGUACAUCCAACAAGGAAAAUAUUAGGAAAAAGUUGGGAACAAGGAAUGAAGAAACAUAAGAGUUUUGGGUGGGUGGUAGAAGAAGAUAUUAAGGAGAUGGGGAUAAACAAUUAUAGAUGUGUACCAAGAGUAAUAUAUCCGAAUACUCCUAUAUGGAUUAUUCCUCAGCCAGUAGUAGAUUUAACAUUACUGGAGAUAAGACAGAGUGAAGGAAAUAAUGGGAUGGAAGUAAUGAGAGCAAAUGAGUAUUUAAGAAUAACAUAUGGAGAUAGUAUACAGAUUUACACAGAUGCUUCCAAAAAAGGAAGGAGAGUAGGAGUGGCAGUCAAUGUGCCAAAGUUAAUGGUGAAGAAAAAAGCUAGAAUUAGUGACCAGUUGUCAAUAUAUACAGGUGAGUUGAUGGCUAUUUUGCUAGGAGUACAAAUAAUUAAGGAAAGGAAAAUAAAAAAUGCAGUCAUAUGUUCAGAUUCUUAUUCAGCAAUAGUUAGUAUCUAUAAUCAAAAAUCUGAAUCAAGGCCAGAUUUAAUCAUGGAAAUUCUUCAAAAUCUCUUUGAGUUGAAACAAAUUAAAAUAGAAGUACAGUUUAUGUGGGUCCCAGCUCAUGUGGGAAUUAAAGGCAAUGAGGAAGCAGAUAAAUUAGCUAAACAAGUAGUAGAUGAAGAUAGGGUAGAAAUUGAGUUAUCACAUAGUUUAAAAGAAAUCAAAUCAGUAAUAAAGGAGGAAAUGAUUAAAAAGUGGCAACAAUAUUGGGAUAAUGAGAGUAAAGGUAGACAUUUAUAUGCAAUACAAAAGAAAGUGGGAAAAGGUAGGAAAAGAGGGAGAAAUAGAAGGGAGGAAAGUAUAAUUACAAGACUAAGGGUGGGACAUACCGGUUUGAAUAAAACAUUACAUUUAAUAUCUAAGCAUCCAACGGGUUUGUGUGAGAAAUGUGGACAAAGUGAAACUGUGGAACAUGUGUUUAUUAAUUGUAAUGGUUAUGAUGAAGAAAGAGAAGUGCUAAGAGAAGAAUUAUGGAAGAAUGAAGGGAAAGAGUUAAUAUUAAAGAAUAUAUUAGACUUGGAUAUAGGAAAUAGUAUGGUUAAUGUGUUGUUUCAGUUUUUGAAUAAUACUGGUUUAAUGAAUAGAUUGUAG
RNAcentral lists this long non-coding RNA (1683 nucleotides) under Carassius auratus (goldfish). Its description in RNAcentral is "lncRNA (ENSCARG00000002197.1)". The record is from RNAcentral. Lineage: Eukaryota; Metazoa; Chordata; Actinopteri; Cypriniformes; Cyprinidae.